This 79-nucleotide transfer RNA is filed under the name Taibaiella sp. KBW10. RNAcentral's name for it is "tRNA-His". It matches the Rfam family "tRNA". Rfam says of the family: Transfer RNA (tRNA) molecules are approximately 80 nucleotides in length. Lineage: Bacteria; Pseudomonadati; Bacteroidota; Chitinophagia; Chitinophagales; Chitinophagaceae. The record is from RNAcentral.
GAGGCUAUAGCUCAGUUGGUUAGAGCGUCGGUUUGUGGUUCCGAAGGUCGUGGGUUCGAGACCCAUUAGCCUCCCUCCA